UGAUGCCUGUGGCAGGAAACCACCC
Molecule: non-coding RNA, 25 nt
Filed under: Rattus norvegicus (Norway rat)
Lineage: Eukaryota; Metazoa; Chordata; Mammalia; Rodentia; Muridae
Source: RNAcentral